GACGAACGCUGGCGGCGUGCUUAACACAUGCAAGUCGAACGGAAAGGCCCCUUUGGGGGUACUCGAGUGGCGAACGGGUGAGUAACACGUGAGUAACCUGCCCUUGACUUCGGGAUAACUUCAGGAAACUGGGGCUAAUGCCGGAUGGGAAUCCUUGCUGCAUGGUGGGGGUUGGAAAGCUUCGGCGGUUUUGGAUGGACUCGCGGCUUAUCAGCUUGUUGGUGGGGUAGUGGCUUACCAAGGCUUUGACGGGUAGCCGGCCUGAGAGGGCGACCGGCCACAUUGGGACUGAGAUACGGCCCAGACUCCUACGGGAGGCAGCAGUGGGGAAUAUUGCACAAUGGGCGGAAGCCUGAUGCAGCAACGCCGCGUGCGGGAUGACGGCCUUCGGGUUGUAAACCGCUUUCAGCAGGGGCGAAGCUUGUGGUGACGGUACCUGCAGAAGAAGCACCGGCUAACUACGUG
RNAcentral lists this ribosomal RNA (465 nucleotides) under uncultured bacterium. RNAcentral describes it as "partial 16S ribosomal RNA". It matches the Rfam family "Bacterial small subunit ribosomal RNA", at positions 28 to 507 of the family's 1533-position model. The record is from RNAcentral.